RNAcentral lists this ribosomal RNA (709 nucleotides) under Salmonella enterica. RNAcentral's name for it is "partial 23S ribosomal RNA". It matches the Rfam family "Bacterial large subunit ribosomal RNA", at positions 1 to 1191 of the family's 2925-position model. Lineage: Bacteria; Pseudomonadati; Pseudomonadota; Gammaproteobacteria; Enterobacterales; Enterobacteriaceae. The record is from RNAcentral.
CCACCACUAAGCCAGUGGUGAACUCCACAUACGCAUCCUUUGCUGAGGAUACGGUUAACGGAGCGAAAGCGACGUUCAACCGCAAAAGAAGCAGAGGGGGCUUAGUGGUGGGGUGACUGCGUACCUUUUGUAUAAUGGGUCAGCGACUUAUAUUCUGUAGCAAGGUUAACCGAAUAGGGGAGCCGCAGGGAAACCGAGUCUUAAUUGGGCGUUAAGUUGCAGGGUAUAGACCCGAAACCCGGUGAUCUAGCCAUGGGCAGGUUGAAGGUUGGGUAACACUAACUGGAGGACCGAACCGACUAAUGUUGAAAAAUUAGCGGAUGACCUGUGGCUGGGGGUGAAAGGCCAAUCAAACCGGGAGAUAGCUGGUUCUCCCCGAAAGCUAUUUAGGUAGCGCCUCGUGAAUUCAUCUCCGGGGGUAGAGCACUGUUUCGGCUAGGGGGCCAUCCCGGCUUACCAACCCGAUGCAAACUGCGAAUACCGGAGAAUGUUAUCACGGGAGACACACGGCGGGUGCUAACGUCCGUCGUGAAGAGGGAAACAACCCAGACCGCCAGCUAAGGUCCCAAAGUCAUGGUUAAGUGGGAAACGAUGUGGGAAGGCCCAGACAGCCAGGAUGUUGGCUUAGAAGCAGCCAUCAUUUAAAGAAAGCGUAAUAGCUCACUGGUCGAGUCGGCCUGCGCGGAAGAUGUAACGGGGCUAAACCAUG